GUUGGUGGAGUGAUUUGUCUGGUUAAUUCCGUUAACGAACGAGACCUCAGCCUGCUAAAUAGUUGGGCGAAUACAAUGUCGUAUAUGUGGAUUGCUUUUGUUGUCCUUGAGUUUUCUUAGGGAUAUUUGAGUAGUUCUGAUAUGAUAAUUCGUGAUCAACUUCUUAGAGGGACUUUUGGUUUUUAGCCAAAGGAAGUUUGAGGCAAUAACAGG
This 213-nucleotide ribosomal RNA is filed under the name uncultured eukaryote. Its description in RNAcentral is "partial small subunit ribosomal RNA". It matches the Rfam family "Eukaryotic small subunit ribosomal RNA", at positions 1297 to 1460 of the family's 1831-position model. The record is from RNAcentral.